GACGAACGCUGGCGGCGUGCUUAACACAUGCCAGUCGAACGGAAAGGCCCUGCUUGCAGGGUGCUCGAGUGGCGAACGGGUGAGUAACACGUGGGUGAUCUGCCCCUUACUUUGGGAUAAGCCUGGGAAACUGGGUCUAAUACUGGAUAGGACCAUGCUGUAGGUGGUGUGGUGGACAGAUUAGUUUCGGUAAGGGAUGAGCUCGCGGCCUAUCAGCUUGUUGGUGGGGUAUUGGCCUACCAAGGCGUCGACGGGUAGCCGGCCUGAGAGGGUGGACGGCCACACUGGAACUGUGAGGCGGGCCAGACUCCGACGGGUGGCAGAAGGGGGGAAUAUUGCACAAUGGGCGCAAGCGUGAGGCAGCGAGGCCGCGUGGGGGAUGACGGCCUUCGGGUUGUAAACACCUUUCAGCCAUGACGAAGCCUUCGGGUGACGGUAGUGGUAGAAGAAGCACCGGCUAACUACGUG
This 468-nucleotide ribosomal RNA is filed under the name uncultured bacterium. Its description in RNAcentral is "partial 16S ribosomal RNA". It matches the Rfam family "Bacterial small subunit ribosomal RNA", at positions 28 to 507 of the family's 1533-position model. The record is from RNAcentral.